GGGGAUAUAGCUUUAUUGGUAAAGUGCUUGACUCACAUACAAAAGGCCCUGGGUUCAAUCCCCAGAACCACA
This 72-nucleotide transfer RNA is filed under the name Ictidomys tridecemlineatus (thirteen-lined ground squirrel). RNAcentral's name for it is "Spermophilus tridecemlineatus (thirteen-lined ground squirrel) tRNA". It matches the Rfam family "tRNA". Rfam says of the family: Transfer RNA (tRNA) molecules are approximately 80 nucleotides in length. Their secondary structure includes four short double-helical elements and three loops (D, anti-codon, and T loops). The record is from Rfam by way of RNAcentral. Lineage: Eukaryota; Metazoa; Chordata; Mammalia; Rodentia; Sciuridae.